GGUUAAGCGACUAAGCGUACACGGUGGAUGCCCUGGCAGUCAGAGGCGAUGAAGGACGUGCUAAUCUGCGAAAAGCGUCGGUAAGGUGAUAUGAACCGUUAUAACCGGCGAUGUCCGAAUGGGGAAACCCAGUGCAAUUCGUUGCACUAUCGUUAACUGAAUACAUAGGUUAACGAGGCGAACCGGGGGAACUGAAACAUCUAAGUACCCCGAGGAAAAGAAAUCAACCGAGAUUCCCCCAGUAGCGGCGAGCGAACGGGGAGCAGCCCAGAGUCUGAAUCAGCUUGUGUGUUAGUGGAACGGUCUGGAAAGUCCGACGGUACAGGGUGAUAGUCCCGUACACCAAAAUGCACAGGCUGUGAACUCGAAGAGUAGGGCGGGACACGUGGUAUCCUGUCUGAAUAUGGGGGGACCAUCCUCCAAGGCUAAAUACUCCUGACUGACCGAUAGUGAACCAGUACCGUGAGGGAAAGGCGAAAAGAACCCCGGCGAGGGGAGUGAAAAAGAACCUGAAACCGUGUACGUACAAGCAGUGGGAGCACCUUCGGGUGUGACUGCGUACCUUUUGUAUAAUGGGUCAGCGACUUAUAUUCUGUAGCAAGGUUAACCGUAUAGGGGAGCCGCAGGGAAACCGAGUCUUAACUGGGCGUUAAGUUGCAGGGUAUAGACCCGAAACCCGGUGAUCUAGCCAUGGGCAGGUUGAAGGUUGGGUAACACUAACUGGAGGACCGAACCGACUAAUGUUGAAAAAUUAGCGGAUGACUUGUGGCUGGGGGUGAAAGGCCAAUCAAACCGGGAGAUAGCUGGUUCUCCCCGAAAGCUAUUUAGGUAGCGCCUCGUGAACUCAUCUUCGGGGGUAGAGCACUGUUUCGGCUAGGGGGUCAUCCCGACUUACCAACCCGAUGCAAACUACGAAUACCGAAGAAUGUUAUCACGGGAGACACACGGCGGGUGCUAACGUCCGUCGUGAAGAGGGAAACAACCCAGACCGCCAGCUAAGGUCCCAAAGUCAUGGUUAAGUGGGAAACGAUGUGGGAAGGCACAGACAGCCAGGAUGUUGGCUUAGAAGCAGCCAUCAUUUAAAGAAAGCGUAAUAGCUCACUGGUCGAGUCGGCCUGCGCGGAAGAUGUAACGGGGCUAAACCAUGCACCGAAGCUGCGGCAGCGACACUAUGUGUUGUUGGGUAGGGGAGCGUUCUGUAAGCCUGCGAAGGUGACCUGUGAGGGUUGCUGGAGGUAUCAGAAGUGCGAAUGCUGACAUAAGUAACGAUAAAGCGGGUGAAAAGCCCGCUCGCCGGAAGACCAAGGGUUCCUGUCCAACGUUAAUCGGGGCAGGGUGAGUCGACCCCUAAGGCGAGGCCGAAAGGCGUAGUCGAUGGGAAACAGGUUAAUAUUCCUGUACUUGGUGUUACUGCGAAGGGGGGACGGAGAAGGCUAUGUUAGCCGGGCGACGGUUGUC
This 1458-nucleotide ribosomal RNA is filed under the name Klebsiella pneumoniae. RNAcentral's name for it is "partial 23S ribosomal RNA". It matches the Rfam family "Bacterial large subunit ribosomal RNA", at positions 1 to 1506 of the family's 2925-position model. Lineage: Bacteria; Pseudomonadati; Pseudomonadota; Gammaproteobacteria; Enterobacterales; Enterobacteriaceae. The record is from RNAcentral.